This 468-nucleotide ribosomal RNA is filed under the name uncultured bacterium. RNAcentral's name for it is "partial 16S ribosomal RNA". It matches the Rfam family "Bacterial small subunit ribosomal RNA", at positions 28 to 507 of the family's 1533-position model. The record is from RNAcentral.
GAUGAACGCUGGCGGCGUGCUUAACACAUGCAAUUCGAACGGAAAGGCCCAAGCUUGGUUGGGUACUCGAGUGGCGAACGGGUGAGUAACACGUGGGUGAUCUGCCCUGCACUUCGGUAUAAGCCUCGGAAACUGGGUCUAAUACCGGAUAGGCCCACGUCCUGGCUGUUGUGGCGGAAAGUUUUUUCGGUGUGGGGUCAGCUCGAGGCCUAUCGGCUUGUUGGUGGGGUAGUGGCCUACCAAGGCGUCGACGGGUAGCCGGCCUGAGAGGGGGUACGGCGAGAUGGGGAUUGAGAGACGGCCCAGAGUCCCACGGGAGGCAGGAGUGGGGAAGAUAGGACAAUGGGAGCAAGCCUGAGGCAGGGGGGCCGCGUGGGGGGUGAGGGCUUUGGGGUUGUAGACUCCUGUCGCGAGGGACGAAGCGUUUUUGUGACGGUACCUGGGGAAGAAGAACCGGCUAACUACGUG